RNAcentral lists this ribosomal RNA (536 nucleotides) under Salmonella enterica. Its description in RNAcentral is "bacterial SSU rRNA". It matches the Rfam family "Bacterial small subunit ribosomal RNA", at positions 1 to 528 of the family's 1533-position model. Lineage: Bacteria; Pseudomonadati; Pseudomonadota; Gammaproteobacteria; Enterobacterales; Enterobacteriaceae. The record is from RNAcentral.
AAAUUGAAGAGUUUGAUCAUGGCUCAGAUUGAACGCUGGCGGCAGGCCUAACACAUGCAAGUCGAACGGUAGCACAGAGAGCUUGCUCUCGGGUGACGAGUGGCGGACGGGUGAGUAAUGUCUGGGAAACUGCCUGAUGGAGGGGGAUAACUACUGGAAACGGUGGCUAAUACCGCAUAACGUCGCAAGACCAAAGAGGGGGACCUUCGGGCCUCUUGCCAUCAGAUGUGCCCAGAUGGGAUUAGCUUGUUGGUGAGGUAACGGCUCACCAAGGCGACGAUCCCUAGCUGGUCUGAGAGGAUGACCAGCCACACUGGAACUGAGACACGGUCCAGACUCCUACGGGAGGCAGCAGUGGGGAAUAUUGCACAAUGGGCGCAAGCCUGAUGCAGCCAUGCCGCGUGUAUGAAGAAGGCCUUCGGGUUGUAAAGUACUUUCAGCGGGGAGGAAGGUGUUGUGGUUAAUAACCACAGCAAUUGACGUUACCCGCAGAAGAAGCACCGGCUAACUCCGUGCCAGCAGCCGCGGUAAUACGG